ACUUGUCUUUCCUCGCCUGGAAAAAUUGUUACUCGCCAAUAUUUGUCGUCAAUUGUGCAGGAAAAGUCUAAGAUUUCCCAACGGCCUGCAGCGCCGAGGCGAAGGAGUGGAGGAGAGGGAGGCCCCAGCUGCUAGGGGCUUGAGAGAGAAAAAUAACGUUGUUCUGUAUCCAUCUAAAUAGUCCAGGUGUAGUAAAUCAAUAGCGGUGUAGUGUUUGAUAAGUAGAUGUAGAUUUAGCCAGAAGCACGUAGGUAAGCAUGCACAACUUUUCUCCGGAGGGUUGAUUUACGGUCCGAUAAGGGUAUUAAUGGCCGGGUACGAGUGGUGUUUAGCUUCGUAUUAGUUAGUGUCCCUGGGGAGAGGCCAGGUGUGCGGAGAGUACAGGUAGUGACGCAGCCGGCGGCCAGCCUGGGACGGCGCCGCCCUCUUCCCCGCCAGACGCCAACCAAGGCUCCACGUAAGUACUGUGUGUGUGUGUUCAUUGCUGAGGCUGACGUGCAGAAGGGUGGAGACGAACAGUUGUCAUCCCUCGCUUGUCUAAAUCAGGCUGACGCUCCGCCGCCGUCCGCCGGUCGCCACCCCUGAGCCAGUAGCAGCUCGUGGCGGCGUCCAGCGGAAGGUUGUAGUCCCGACGCGGCGCUCGUCCCCCUGACAUAUGGAGUCCGGAGGACACCGUACUACUGGACGGAUUCCCUUGAUGUAAGAUGAUGUACGACACCCGAAGUCGUCGAGCUGUUAACUGACUGUUUUCCAUCUGAACGGCGCACCUAGCGACGGGGAAUUCUGCUGGGAGAUCCCUUUCACAGAACUCCUGCUGGUGACGUCUCUCAGAACUCCUGCUGGUGGUGUCUCAUAGUAUUCUUAGUGGAGGCGCCUCUCGCAAAACACCGAAAGGAAUUUUGUGAGAGGCGCCCCCCGCAGGAGUUCUGUGAGGGGCUCACCCCAGCAGGAGUUGUGUUAGAGGCGCCCCAGCAGGAGUUGUGUGAGGGGUUCACCCCAGCAGGAAUUGUUUGAGAGGCGCCCCAGUAGGAGUUGUGUUGGAGGCGCCCACAGCAGGAGUUGUGUGUAAGGCUCCCCCCAGCAGGAGUUCUGUGAGAUGCGCCCCCAGCAGGAGUUCUGUUGGAGGCGCCCCCCAGCAGGAGUUUUGUGAGAUACGCCCCCCAGCAGGAGAACUCCUGCUGGUGACGUCUCUCAUAACUCCUGCUGGUGGUGUCUCAUAGUAUUCUUAGUGGAGGCGCCUCUCGCAAAACACCGAAAGGAAUUUUGUGAGAGGCGCCCCCAGCAGGAGUUCUGUGAGGGGCUCACCCCAGCAGGAGUUGUGUUAGAGGCGCCCCAGCAGGAGUUGUGUGAGGGGUUCACCCCAGCAGGAAUUGUUUGAGAGGCGCCCCAGUAGGAGUUGUGUUGGAGGCGCCCACAGCAGGAGUUGUGUGUAAGGCUCCCCCCAGCAGGAGUUCUGUGAGAUGCGCCCCCAGCAGGAGUUCUGUUGGAGGCGCCCCCCAGCAGGAGUUCUGUGAGAUACGCCCCCCAGCAGGAGUUGUGUGAGAUGCGCCCCCAGCAGGAGUUGUGUGAGAGGCGCCCUCAGCAGGAGUUGUGUGUGAGGCGCCCCCCAGCAGGAGUUCUAUGAGAUGCGCCCCCAGCAGGAGUUGUGUGAGAGGCGCCCUCAGCAGGAGUUGUGUGUGAGACGCCCCCAGCAGGGGUUGUGUGAGAGGCGCCCCCCCAGCAGGAGUUGUGUAUGAGGCGCCCCCCAGCAGGAGUUGUGUGAGAGGCGCCCCCAGCAGGAGUUAUGUGUGAGACGCCCACAACUCCUACGCCCCCAGCAGGAGUUAGGAGUUGUGUGUGAGACGCCCCCAGCAGGGGUUGUGUGAGAGGCGCCCCCCAGCAGGAGUUGUGUGUGAGACGCCCCCAGCAGGAGUUGUGUGUGAGACGCCCCCAGCAGGGGUUGUGUGAGAGGCGCCCCCCAGCAGGAGUUGUGUAUGAGGCGCCCCCCAGCAGGAGUUGUGUGAGAGGCGCCCCCAGCAGGAGUUGUGUGAGAGGUGCCCCCAGCAGGAGUUAUGUGUGAGACGCCCCCAGCAGGAGUUGUGUG
This is a long non-coding RNA of Eriocheir sinensis (Chinese mitten crab), 2083 nucleotides long. RefSeq lists it as uncharacterized. NCBI's taxonomy places the organism in Eukaryota, Metazoa, Arthropoda, Malacostraca, Decapoda, Varunidae. The record is from RefSeq and is a predicted model, not a curated record. The transcript has 3 exons.